Molecule: unclassified non-coding RNA, 202 nt
Filed under: Hevea brasiliensis (rubber tree)
Lineage: Eukaryota; Viridiplantae; Streptophyta; Magnoliopsida; Malpighiales; Euphorbiaceae
Source: RNAcentral
UAAAAAACACGAGUUACAGAGAGAAAAAAUACAGAAGAACAACUGAGAACUUGAAUGACUGUACAUACAGCUAUGGACACACAAAAAAAUUACAGCAAAAUUCCAUUUUACUAAACUAUUUGGGCAGACAAUGUGCUGGCAAACCAUUUUGAAUAGUUAGUUUUGGUGAGUGUAUUCCGGAGUUCCAAAAUAAUAAGCUUUG